Molecule: transfer RNA, 76 nt
Filed under: Erysipelotrichaceae bacterium
Lineage: Bacteria; Bacillati; Bacillota; Erysipelotrichia; Erysipelotrichales; Erysipelotrichaceae
Description: tRNA-Thr
Rfam family: tRNA
About the family: Transfer RNA (tRNA) molecules are approximately 80 nucleotides in length. Their secondary structure includes four short double-helical elements and three loops (D, anti-codon, and T loops).
Source: RNAcentral
GCCAACUUAGCUCACCUGGUAGAGCAACGCACUCGUAACGCGUAGGUAGCAGGUUCAAGUCCUGUAGUUGGCACCA